RNA transcript from Brassica napus (rape), 4927 nucleotides. It is a transcript of the gene named ENHANCER OF AG-4 protein 2, with no coding region annotated. The record is from RefSeq and is a predicted model, not a curated record. NCBI's taxonomy places the organism in Eukaryota, Viridiplantae, Streptophyta, Magnoliopsida, Brassicales, Brassicaceae. The transcript is spliced from 13 exons.
AAAAAAGGAGAAGGGGAAUAAAACGCCGACAAGAGUAACCAAUAGGUUAUCAGAAAAAAAUCCAUUACAUCCCUAAGCCCCUCCCGUCCUCCCGCGACCGCCUCAAACAAUCAAAUCUCUGUCUGGAUCAAAAGCCCUUCUUGUUCCCUCUCGUUCGCGCUCCACGUGACCUCUAGCUGUCUCCGUUCAACCAGCGAACCUUCCUUCCUUCCUCCGGUGGAAUCAGAGUCUCUUUUAUUGGGUUUCUCGGAUUGGGAUUCAGCGAUUCUGGUUUGGGAUUAAAAAUUAGGGUUUAUAGAGGAGGAAUCAAUCGCCUAUGGCUCCGGGGCGUAAAAGAGGAGCUAGCAAGGCUAACGCCAAGGGGAAGUUGAUCCUCGGUGAUCUCGUUCUUGCCAAAGUCAAAGGCUUCCCUGCUUGGCCUGCUAAGAUUAGCCGGCCUGAAGAAUGGGAUCGUGCGCCUGACCCGAAGAAGUACUUUGUUAAGUUCUUUGGAACUCAGGAAAUAGCUUUUGUUGCACCGCCUGAUAUCCAAGCCUUCACUAAUGAGGCAAAGAGCAAACUAUUAGCAAGAUGUCAAGGUAAAACACUCAAGUAUUUUGCGCAAGCCGUCACGGAAAUUUGCACCGCUUUUGAAGAGUUGCAGAACCGCAAGUCAUUGGAUCCUCUCGAUACAGCGGAGCCUGGUUUGACAAAGGCUGAGACAUUGGAUGGAACAGGUCAUAUAGUCCCUAAAUUAGAUAAGAACAAUGGUGAAGAGACAAACGCUGAGACUGUGAAGAAGGAUUCAUCCCCGGGUAGCGAGUCACUGACGCAUAGUUCAUAUGACCCUAAAAUAAAGGAAGAAGAUUUUGAUAAAGGAACUGGCGGUGAUGGUUGCACUAAUGGUCAGAAGAAUCUGGCGAGAACAAAGAAGGUAGCUGGUGGCUCGGACAAAAAAGGUGAUACAAUUCAUAGAGACAAAAGCAGUAACUCACAUGUGCCUACUAGUGGUAAAUCUGAUUCCAAAAUGUCAAAAGGUCCGUUGACAGAGAAAUCUAGUACCAAAUUUUCCGGAGGUAAGCACGAAAAUUCACCUGGUGUUAAGAGUGGAGUUCCAGGCAAGAAAAGAAGGCUUGAAAGUGAACUAAGGAAGCCUGCACCAAGACUAGAUGAAAGCUCGCCUGCUGCUAAAAAACCGCGAACUGAAGGUAAAAAUGGCAGCGUUAAGUGUGAAAUUGAUGAUGAAUCUGAUCCUAUUGGGACUGGAUCAGAUAUUAAGCAUGACCUUGUUUUAGGAGCAAGUCCUCGUGAAGGAAAUUUAAGGGUGGGGAAAGGUCAUCUGGAACAGAAAGACCGUCCCUCUUCAGUUGCACAGUCUCUGAAAAAGCGAAGGGCUGUUUGCAUCUACGACGAAGAUGAUGAUGAAGAUCCAAAAACCCCAUUACAUGGAAGUCGAGCUGCUGUUCCCAAAACAUCAGAAUUGACUGAUGGUCCCAAAAGUGGCAAUGCCUCUACCAAAUCUAAGGUAUCUGCUGGACCUACAGAGAGUACUCGAGUAAAGAAAGCACCUCUGCGUAAACAUUGCGAGGAUGCUUCACGCGUAUUAUCGGAAAAUGUGGAGAAAUCUGCUAAUAGCUUACCCAUAGUGAAACCCAUCAGUGAGUUGCCGCCAAAGGAUGUCAAGCAGAUCGUUAAAUCUCCUAUGCUGUCUCCUCAGCUGGGUUCAUCUAACAAGCACGUUACAGCACAGCAAAAAGCUGCAAAGUCAUCUGUAAAAGUUUCUGGUGUUGUGAUGGCAAAGAAGCCUCAGAGUGAUUCUUGUAAGGAGGCAGUUAUGAAAUCUGAUAAAGUAAGCUAUUCUUUGUCUCAAGCUGAUCAGAGACACAAACCAGCUUCAGUUAAAGAUAGGCCAAGAGACACUUCUGAGGACUUGUCUGCUGUGAUGCCUGAUGGCAACCGAGAAAAUUGGAGUGCUCCAUUUACCAGUGCGAAGACCCCAGAUGCAGCUUCAUCUAUGAAGGAUCUAAUUGCAGCAGCACAGGCCAAAAGAAAACUAGCACAUUCACAAAAUUCAGUUUUUGGGAAUUUGAACCCUAGUUUCAUGAGCAUCAGUGAUACACAGAUGAGGAGCCAGAGCCCGUUUAUGGUUCAGAGUGCUUCAGCUUCUGCUGCCAUCGCAAUGCCUUUAGUUGUUGAAGGACAUCAACAGGAUUCUUCUCCGUCAAAUCAUGGGCAUCAGUCCUCAUCAAGAAAUCAAAAUGAGGCUGAUGUUGAUGAAGAGAGAAGACUUAGUUCAGGGCAUAAGUCAGCUGGAGGUUCACUUAGUGGUGGUACUGAGGCGGCUGUUUCCCGAGAUGCUUUUGAGGGGAUGAUAGAGACCUUAUCAAGAACUAAGGAAAGUAUUGGACGUGCAACACGCCUAGCAAUUGAUUGUGCCAAGUAUGGGAUUGCUAGUGAGGUGGUGGAACUUCUCAUACGAAAGUUGGAAAGUGAACCUCAAUUGCAUCGUAAAGUGGACUUGUUCUUUCUCGUUGACUCUAUCACCCAGUGUUCGCACAACCAAAAAGGUAUUGCUGGUGCUUCAUACGUUCCUACUGUGCAAGCUGCUUUGCCACGUCUUUUAGGUGCUGCUGCUCCUUCAGGGCUCGAUGCUCGUGACAAUCGUCGUAAAUGUCUGAAGGUUCUGAGGUUGUGGCUUGAUAGGAAAAUUUUCCCUGAAUCUCUUCUGCGUCGUUAUAUUGAUGAUAUUGGAGCUUCUGGCGAUGAUGGAACUAUUGGGAUUUCCCUGCGACGUCCUUCUAGAUCUGAGCGUUCUGUAGAUGAUCCUAUCAGAGAAAUGGAAGGGAUGCAUGUUGAUGAGUAUGGCAGCAAUGCAACUAUUCAGCUGCCUGGGUUUUUCUCUUCUCAUAACUUCGAAGAUGAUGAAGAAGAUGACGAGCUUCUAACAUCACAAAAAGCAAAAAACACAUCUUCUGGGGAACCUUUCAAUGCUUUAGAUGACUUGGAAAUGCGUGAUACUUCAAGUGAUAGACACCAUCGAGUUUUGGAGGAUGUAGAUCGUGAUCUUGAAAUGGCAGAUGUAUCUGGUGAGGGGAAAGAUGUAGCACCUUCCGCUAUCUGUGAGAAUGAGACAAAGGAGCAGUCACUGGAUGUUAGUGAACCAGUUGCGGAAAAGUCAACUGGGGUGCCUCCUCUUUCAGAGGAUUCUCCUCCGCUACCUCACGAAUCACCUCCAUCUCCCCCUCCUCUGCCCCCUUCUCCACCACCUCCGUCUCCACCUCCUCCGCCUUCAUCUCCGCCUCCGUUGCUGCCACCACCACCUCCCACAGCGCAGACCCCACCUCUUUCUUCACCCUUGUCUCAGCCUCCACCACCACUUCCCACAGCGCAGAUCCCACCUCUUCCUUCACCCUUGUCUCAGCCUCCACCACCACCGCCCCUUACACCUCCACCUUCACCUCCACCCCCACCUCCACCGCCUGCACAAUCUAUAGCUUUACCAACUCAACCAUCCAUAGCGAGCCAUCAUCAAUUACCACCGCAAUUAGGAUUUCCUCCUCCAGCAUAUCCAUUAUCGCAUCAAACAUACCCAGGAUCUAUGCAGCAAGACCGCUGUAGCAUUUUCACUGGCGAUCAAAUUGUCCAAGGGCUUGGAAGUUCUUCACGUGGAAGUCAUGUGCAGCAGUCAUAUAAUUUUAAUCCUGAAGCUUCUUCACAGAACCAACGGUUUCAGCCGAACACCACUCUCUCCCAAAGACCUAUGGUUAGGAAUCCGCCUUUAGCACCGUCCGGUCAUUUUCCGUAUCCAAGCCAUGUUCAAUCUCAAUCCCCGCAUACCUACACUCAUCCUUACUCUUUCCCACCUCAACGUGAUGACGGACGGCGAUAUAGAGAUGAGGAACCAUGGCGGAUGUCUUCAAGUGGGCGUAGUGCAGAAAACCAGAGUGGUGCCUGGAUACGUGGAAGACAUUCACAUCCAGGCCUUCCUAGAGUCACAGACAGUAUAUUUCUUUCGGCCGCCUCCAGAACGUCCACCUUCAGUGACAAUGAGCUAUCAACCUUCUUCUGCUAGUAACUUACAAUCUAUCCCGGCAAUUCCAGGUCAUGCUGCUCCCCAGAUGCUACCGUCUCGGCCAGACCUGCCUGCCGGGAAUUGUUGGCGGCCAGCUUGAAGUGAAGGUAGAAAUUCGUUGGCCUGCUCCUGUCUGCUCCUGUUAGUAUCAAGGAUAAAGAAGCGGCUAAUGUCUCAUUAACAAGGCUAAUCCUCUAGGAACGAGAAGCAUGUGUUUCUAAGCAGUUUUGAGUCUAGUCAGUCCAUGUUACAAGAAUCUCCAUAUUGCUAUUUGUGCACUGCUGAUCUGAAGAAUUAUGUAGAAGACUUGUGAGUUGCGAGAAAAUGUAUUGUUGUCGUGCGACAGGCUUUUGAUGCAUAACUGAACCGCCUAGAGCGAUGGCAAGGCGGUCCUGAUGAGAUUAUGCAAAAGCUUGGUGUGAGAAACUUCUCUUGUGCUUAUACUCUUUAUCUUCUGUGUAGUGUACAUGGAACUACAAAGAACAUAUAUAAUAGACAUGGAUUAGGGAGUUUUAUCUCUCUCUCUCUCUGUAAACAUUGACAAAGUGAAUACUGUAUGGUAGUCGACUUUGGAAAUUGCUAUUAUUGCAUGGGUGAUUUUUCAGGUGUUGAAGUUCUGAGAUUUGUUCGGGAGCUGAGAAGAUCUUCAGGCUUUAGACGAUUGUAGUUUCUCAAGUUGGGAGGUUAGUUUUGUCGUCACUGAUAAAUCACUUAUCAGGACCACCUUGUUGAGACUCUUGAGCAUAGAAACUAUAUGUUUGUAUAUUAUACUAGAAAUGUUUUGGUACACCAAACUUUAAAUAGAGUUCGAACUUAAUAAACUGUUCUUGUAAUCAAAAGAUUAAGCCUUGUUCUAUUACAAUGAUUUUUACUCAA